UAGUCAUACGCUUGUUUCAAAGAUUAAACCAUGCAUGUGUAAGUAUAAGCGACUUUAUACUGUGAAACUGCGAACGGCUCAUUAUAUCAGUUAUAGUUUAUUUGAUAAAUAUUUUACUACUUGGAUAACCGUAGUAAUUCUAGAGGUAAUACAUGCACCAAGUCCCGACCUCCCGGAAGGGAUGUAUUUAUUAGAUAUCAACCAUCUCGCUUUGGCGGUUUUUGGUGAGUCAUAAUAACUUUUCGAAUUGCAGGGGCCUAGUGCCGGCGAUGAAUCAUUCAAGUUUUUUCCCUAUCAGCUUUUGAUGGUAGUGUAUUGGACUUCCAUGGCGGUGACGGGUAACGGAGAAAUAGGGUUUGAUUCCGGAGAGGGAGCCUGAGAGAUGGCUUCCCCAUCCCAGGAAGGCAGCCGGGGCGUAAAUUAUCCCAUCCCAAUUUGGGGAGGUAGUGACAAUAAAUAUCAAUGCGGGGCUCAACGAGUUUUGCAAUUGGAAAGAGUACAAUUUAAAUCCCUUAACGAGGAUCAAUU
This 528-nucleotide ribosomal RNA is filed under the name uncultured eukaryote. RNAcentral describes it as "bacterial SSU rRNA". It matches the Rfam family "Eukaryotic small subunit ribosomal RNA", at positions 21 to 549 of the family's 1831-position model. The record is from RNAcentral.